Molecule: transfer RNA, 72 nt
Filed under: Candidatus Tagabacteria bacterium CG_4_9_14_0_2_um_filter_41_11
Lineage: Bacteria; Candidatus Tagaibacteriota
Also listed under: 2 other names
Description: tRNA-Pro
Rfam family: tRNA
About the family: Transfer RNA (tRNA) molecules are approximately 80 nucleotides in length.
Source: RNAcentral
CGGGGUAUGGUGUAACGGCAACAUUUGCGCAUGGGGUGCGUAAGAUUCUGGGUUCGAAUCCCAGUACCCCGA